Molecule: transfer RNA, 67 nt
Filed under: Scyliorhinus torazame (cloudy catshark)
Lineage: Eukaryota; Metazoa; Chordata; Chondrichthyes; Carcharhiniformes; Scyliorhinidae
Description: tRNA-Ser
Source: RNAcentral
AAGAGAGGUCUGGGACACAAAGAACUGCUAAUUCUUUUUAUCAUAGUUCAAAUCUAUGGCUCACUUA